Long non-coding RNA from Maniola jurtina (meadow brown), 183 nucleotides. RefSeq lists it as uncharacterized. The transcript is spliced from 3 exons. Lineage: Eukaryota; Metazoa; Arthropoda; Insecta; Lepidoptera; Nymphalidae. The record is from RefSeq and is a predicted model, not a curated record.
AAUGUUGAAAAAAUUAAGUAACUGAGUUAACAUUAAUUAUUUAAAUUUUUUACUAAAAGUAGGUACCUUGUACAAAUAUCGGUCUAAUAAGUUAGUGGGGUUACUAGUACUACCUGAUUUAAAUAGUGGAAUUAUUUUACUAUGUUUUAUUAAGUCAGGAAAUUCACCACACCACAUUAUUAU